Triticum urartu is the source of this 3445-nucleotide non-coding RNA. NCBI's taxonomy places the organism in Eukaryota, Viridiplantae, Streptophyta, Magnoliopsida, Poales, Poaceae. The record is from RefSeq and is a predicted model, not a curated record.
CUCACCCCUCCUAUGCGUCUCCCUCCAGUAUUCUAAAAAAAAAAGCGUCUCCCUCCAGUCGAGCCCCACAUCCACAUCCAGAUGAGCCACGAGGCCGGCGGCGACGAGAUAGCCCUCCGCUGCCGCCACCCGCCGACGGCCGCGCCGCUGGACGACGAGGACCUCCUCGGGGAGAUCCUCCUCCGCGUCCCCCCGCUUCCCUCCUCGCUCCUCCGCGCCUCCCUCGUCUCCAAGCUACGCGGAGGCGUCGCCACCGCCCCCUCCUUCAGCCGCCGCUUCGUCGCCCACCACCGGAGGCCCCCCGUCCUCAGUUUCUUCGAGAAGGGCGACGGGGAGCUCGUCUUCACACCCAUCCUCGACCCCGCUGCUUCUGUGACGUCGCCUCCAAUAUUGCAAAGGCUCUCCGCUCCAAAUUUGUUUUGAGCAUUUUCUUCAAUGUGCCAAAAUCAAUUGCUUGGUGAAGUUCCAGUUUAUGUUUACUAUCCAAUAGUAAUUUCUAAGAGGAUACAUCUCAAGCAGUUGGGGUUGCAGGUCAUUGUUAGGAAUACAUCUGGCUUACCAUAUUUUCUAACUAAAGCCAUAGCGUCGAGAUAUCGACGAAGUUUAUCUCGUGGUCCUCCAAUAAAUGACGAGGCAAGUACUCUCCGUUUUCCAACCGCAUCUCCAUUCUGUUCUCCAGCUUGAAUGCUGUCUAGAAGGCCUUGGUAUAGGUCAGCCCUUAUUUUCUUUUGAUUAUGCCAGAUGUAAUCCAGUCUGGAGCUUUCAAUCUUGAUGUAUGUAUGUACAGCAAACUGCUGGAAAAGGCGUCCGCUAUGCAAAAUUGGGUUGAAUAUGCCUGGUCGUGUAUGGAAUUUAUAGCAGUAGUAUUCUUUCAUCGUUACCCAUAGGCCAUUGGCCGAAUCUGUGCAAAUAUUGCAACAUAAAAAGUUAGUUGCAUAGGUGGUAGUAUAUGAAAAUUGAAUUUUUAUCUAAUAGUAUUUGAAUUUUUUUACCUGGGUCAUCGUCAUUACUGAUAUUUUCAGCACCAAUAUCUUCCUCUCGUGUUUCCCUCUUCGGGAUUUUCCUAUGCCAACCCAGUUCAGCUCUUGGAAAGAAUAGAGGAUACGAUAACGGAUCACAGCACCCGUAAUAUGAUCGAAUGUGCUCUUUUUCGUUGUUGUUCCCAUGUAAUAUUACAUUUCUGUCAUAAGUAUCUCUUCUUUCAUUUCCUUCAAUCCACACUGCAGCUACCUCCGAAUUGAUUGGCUCGUUGUAUGUUCUUUGGUCCAAUCUCUGGUCAAGGUUCAAGAUCAGUCUGUAGUCCUCAAGGUUUUGGGCUUGUCCCAAACUCCUAAACUGUUGAGAGUACGGGUUACCGCGUAGGAUAUCUGUUAUUAUUGCAAUCACAUGCUUGUCUUGCUCGUACAUUUCCUCACGGCAACGACGGUAUCGAUGCUCUAAGCUUGGAUCAUCGUCGUAGAAAUAUAGUUCCAGAUGCUUUGGAUCUGAGUGACUAUUACCAAAUGAGUGUAUGUUGUGAUAUAUUUGACCAUGUGCUCGAAAGGUGUAAGUACCGGCCGUUCGCAUGUCUGUUGUGUCUCUGUGGAGCUGGUAGUAUAGUGUAGUAAACGAGAAAUGCCCAUUGAAAAAUCUUAUAUUUUGCCGAAAAUGUCUUGCAUCAGAGUCGUUGCUUGUCCAAAGCCUCAUUAGUUCCGGUGGUGUAUUUGGAUUGGCUAGUCUUAUCUGUCCUUUUUUGCAGCAUAAUCCCUGACUUUCAUACUUGAAUUUGGUUGCAUGGCAGAAACAACAAUCUUCUUCUUUUUCGAGCACGUUUGUGCUUGUUGGUAUGUUGCCGUAGACAAGAUCAUAUGGAUCAGGGUUGAGGUCUUCCUCGCCUUCUAUGAUUUCAAUUUCCACUUCUCUGCCCCACUCUGAUUUAAUAUACAGCAUAUUAAAUUUAGUAAGUAGUAUUGUAAUGUUGCAAAUUUAUUUUAAUUGUAUUAAGCAUACCUUCACCGGUGAACAUGUAUUCAUCUUCGUCUGUGUCUUCUUCAAAUAUUACUCCAUCAUUACCUGUGUUGUAAAAUUUUAUAUAUAUAUAGACGAAGAUGAAUACAUGUUCACCGGUGAAGGUAUGCUUAAUACAGUUUGAAUUGCCAAAGAACAUAUAUGAAAUUGAUAACCUUACCUUGAUCCUCGUUGCACAUUGAUUUUGCUGCCGCAUCUAUUUCUUUAAUGGUUUCUUCUUGCUCAUAUAUGAUUCCAUCAUUGCAUAGUGAUUGUAUUCGUGCAUGCACUUCUUUGAUUGUUGGAAGCAUUGUGCAGGGGAUGUCCUUCCACAUAGUUACUUUACUGUGAUCAUCAUUGUAUAAUGAUUGUGUCGGUGUAUCUGUUUCUCUGAUGCUUGGAAACAUUGAGGAGGGGAUGUCUGUCCAAAAUAGAUGGUUUCCGUCAUGGAUUCAUCUUCUUUUGAUGAUACGGCAAUAGCUUGCUUACGUCUUCUUGUGAAUUCUUCGGUUACGACGGUGUAGCAACGCUUGCCUUUCUCCCGCUGCCACAUGAUCCCUGUGUUUUACAGUAAAUGUAGAAGUGCUCUCCUCCUGUUCAGUUGCGAGAUAUUCAGGGUUCUCCAUUGCUAUUGAAUCUUUGGAUGGUGUGUUGCGUUUCAAUUGAGGGUGAGCUUCAAUUUGUUCCAUUCUUGCUUUCUUCUUUUCUGUUUGCAUAUUUGCAUAUCUUUUUUUUUCUUGUGCACAUUUUGCCGCCUUCUGUUCUGGUGUCUUUCCUGAUACUUUGUUUCGUUGAUAGGCUUCACGGCGUUUUUUGAGUUUCUCAUGCCUUUCUUCAUCGGUCAUGCGUUCAUACCGCUCUCUGUCCCUCUUUCUUCUUUUUUCCUUAGCAUCCAUUAUUUGUGAUUAUGGUCCAAAUGUUUUCCUGCAGGAUGGAAAGAAAUUUUUUUAAUGCAAUACAAGAUAAUUUGUUGCUAGACUGGCCUGGAAUGUGAAGUCAAUAUGUAUCGGAUGAGCAUCCUGGCAUGUGAGAUGCAUGAAACAUGGUAUUUUUUUACUGGACAUCAAACAUAGGACUGAUGAGUAUCAAAUACCAUGUGUGAGAUUCAAGAAUUCAUUGGGAAGAACGAAAACUGGAGACAAGGAACAUACUUGACGGCUCCUUUGUUUUGGUUGGCGCUGUGGCUUGGAGAUUGCUUGGCGUGUACUAAGCUGGUGGCACUUUUUUCUCUGGGCGUUCAAUCUCUGAGAGCUGGGUAUUUAUAUUAGUAUAGAACCUUUGCCAGUCCGAGUUGGUGUAUGGUUCCCGAUUGGUUCCAUGUCCGAGUCCAAGUUGGUGUAUGUUUUCCAUGUCCGAGUCUAAGUUGGUGUAUGCUUCUGAUUGUAUUUUUCUCUUCCACGUCCAAUCCAGUAGCUUGUGGUAUGUUUUGAGAUUUGUUAUAAAUUUACCUUUUUCUGUC